This 541-nucleotide ribosomal RNA is filed under the name uncultured bacterium. RNAcentral describes it as "bacterial SSU rRNA". It matches the Rfam family "Bacterial small subunit ribosomal RNA", at positions 355 to 896 of the family's 1533-position model. The record is from RNAcentral.
UAAGGAAUAUUGGUCAAUGGAGGCAACUCUGAACCAGCCAUGCCGCGUGGAGGAUGAAGGUCCUCUGGAUUGUAAACUUCUUUUAUAUGGGACGAAAAAAGGCUUUUCUAAGUCGUCUGACGGUACCAUAUGAAUAAGCACCGGCUAACUCCGUGCCAGCAGCCGCGGUAAUACGGAGGGUGCAAGCGUUAUCCGGAUUCACUGGGUUUAAAGGGUGCGUAGGUGGGUUGGUAAGUCAGUGGUGAAAUCCCCGAGCUUAACUUGGGAACUGCCAUUGAUACUAUCAGUCUUGAAUACCGUGGAGGUCGGCGGAAUAUGUCAUGUAGCGGUGAAAUGCUUAGAUAUGACAUAGAACACCAAUUGCGAAGGCAGCUGGCUACGCGGAUAUUGACACUGAGGCACGAAAGCGUGGGGAUCAAACAGGAUUAGAUACCCUGGUAGUCCACGCCCUAAACUAUGGAUACUCGACAUUUGCGAUAAACUGUAAGUGUCUGAGCGAAAGCAUUAAGUAUCCCACCUGGGAAGUACGAUCGCAAGAUUG